This 443-nucleotide ribosomal RNA is filed under the name uncultured bacterium. RNAcentral describes it as "partial 16S ribosomal RNA". It matches the Rfam family "Bacterial small subunit ribosomal RNA", at positions 338 to 795 of the family's 1533-position model. The record is from RNAcentral.
CCUACGGGAGGCUGCAGUGGGGAAUAUUGGACAAUGGGGGGAACCCUGAUCCAGCGACGCCGCGUGAGUGAAGAAGUAUUUCGGUAUGUAAAGCUCUAUCAGCAGGGAAGAAAGAAAUGACGGUACCUGACUAAGAAGCCCCGGCUAACUACGUGCCAGCAGCCGCGGUAAUACGUAGGGGGCAAGCGUUAUCCGGAUUUACUGGGUGUAAAGGGAGCGUAGACGGUUACGCAAGUCUGGAGUGAAAGGCGGGGGCCCAACCCCCGGACUGCUUUGGAAACUGUAUAACUGGAGUGCAGGAGAGGUAAGUGGAAUUCCUAGUGUAGCGGUGAAAUGCGUAGAUAUUAGGAGGAACACCAGUGGCGAAAGCGGCUCUCUGGUCUGUAACUGACGCUGAGGUUCGAAAGCGUGGGUAGCAAACAGGAUUAGAUACCCUUGUAGUC